Mus musculus (house mouse) is the source of this 934-nucleotide long non-coding RNA. RefSeq annotates it as predicted gene 12315. The transcript is spliced from 3 exons. The record is from RefSeq and is a predicted model, not a curated record. Lineage: Eukaryota; Metazoa; Chordata; Mammalia; Rodentia; Muridae.
CUGCGUGUGUGGAGUCAGAGGACAACUCUGGGAGUUGCUUUUCAUCUUUCACCUUGCUGAGUCUCUCGUUUCUGUUGCUCUACUGGUUCCAAAGGUCAAACUCUGGUCUUCAGGCUUGUGCAUCGAAUGCCUGUCUGACCCAUCUAUGGCCUUAUUUGUUUUGUAAGACAGUCUCAGUCUUGCCUCUAGGCUGACCUUGAACACACUAGUCUCAAGGUCAUAGGGCUGGAUCUUCCUGCGCCAGUCUCCUGAAUUGGAUUACAGGUUCCACAUGCAGGUUCAUCACCUCAUUCUCUAAACCCAAGUCAUGGUGCCUGGCUUUCCCCAUGGAUGGAUGUGCUGUCCAGGUGCUGUUGAUUGACGUGAGGCAUCCCUUCACAUUACAUCAUCUUGUGUUUGGCCUUUAACCUGAGGUAACUGGGGAGGAGUCUAGCCUGAAGGUCGGAAGCUUGGAACUUUGCCUACGUGACUAUUAAACCAUGCUUCUCUUGUCGGGGCUGAGGGGUUGGUAACUUAGACAGGAGCCACAGUUCCAGGAGACAUGAGAGAGAGAACGCCUUCUGUCCCAUGUAGGUGAAUUAUCACUACCAGGUCCCGGGGUUCCACACCUCAGCUCUACUGGAGAUCAGACUGUCUGUGUAUAGCCCAACGCCCCACAAUACCUGUGUGUAUAUCUGUGCACGGUGUGCAUGCCUGGCUCUGAGAGGCCAGAAGAGGGUGCUGGAGCUCCUGGGACUGGAGUUCUAGAAAGUGGAAAACCCUUGUGCUCUGGCCUGGUAACUCCUUGCUUGUACCCAGAUCCCCAAAGGAACUUCGGAGUGCUCCUCUCUUGCCUUCUCAUCUCAUUUUUUGGACAUUAAGUAUUGCUUUGUAGCCCAGGCUGCUUUUGAAUCUCCUCAUUUCUCAAUGCUGGGAUUAAAGGUGGGCUUUAGCC